GUUAUUUUUAGUUGUAAUUUAUUUUUUAUUGUCUAUUUAUCAAAACUUAUUUAACCCUAUUUUAAAAAUGGACUAGUCAUGAUUGUUAGUUCAUACCUGGCAUCUUGAUAGCAAAUCAUUUCAACUUUAAUUAAACCAGGAUUUUUAUGAUGCUGGGAAUCAGUUAACUGAAACUGCAGAACGAUCGUCAACAUUGAAAGGCUUCGAUUACCGGUUAGCUGAGCUGCAAUAUGGGAGAUCAAGUCUUGGACAUCGAUUUGGUUGUCAAGAUACUGAGGCGGCAAAAAGAGCUUAGGCUUUCCUCUAACAUAAGCAGAAAAUACGAUGAACGCCUCGACUUCACGCAACCGGAUGUGCUAUGCGAAUUACAGAAAAUAUUUACAAGCUUUGAAUUAUGCAGUUGGUGAACUUAAACCUAAAUUUUAACCGUGUGGUUACCAGUGGCGUAUACAGGAUUAAGGAAGGGAGUGCUGAAUCAAAGGAGGGUGCACACCACUGUCACAAGCUCUGUUUGUGUUUUUCAACCAAUGAAAUGACUACGAGUACAACUUGUUGCAAUUCACACCAGAUUAUCCAUUUAAUCGUCGAAGUUUUAAGAAUUUUGAGACUUAUAGAUACCCAAAAAGAGCACUUGAAUAGUACAAAAUCUACGAUAUCCACCUGAGCCCCACUAUGGUUGUGAGGCGCAGAUGAGUAAAUUUUAAGAAAUUGAGAUUUUUUAGAUGCCCGAAAACGGCACUUGGAUAUGCCUAUUUAAAAUUUUUCAAAAACUACUAUCCACCCCAGCUCGUGGUUGAGGCUGAGGUAAGACAAUUAUAAGAAUUUGAGGCUUUUAGAUGCCGGAAAAUUGCACUUUAGUACCAAAAAAAAAAUAAAAAAAAAAAAAAA
Molecule: long non-coding RNA, 888 nt
Organism: Anneissia japonica
Lineage: Eukaryota; Metazoa; Echinodermata; Crinoidea; Comatulida; Comatulidae
Exons: 3
Source: RefSeq, a predicted model, not a curated record